CUUGCAGACGAGGACGAGGACGGCGCCGGGCCGCCGGCCGACUACGAGGACGACGAGGAGGGGGAGGAGGAGGAGGAGGAGGAAGGCUCUGAGGGCGCUGAGGAGGAAGAGGAUGACUAUGCAGAGGAGGAGGAUGAAGACGAGCCGGCGGCCGUGCGAGGAGAGAAGAGGAAGAGAGACGUGGAGGACGAAGGGGACGACGACGACGACGAUGACGACGACUAAUCGGCCUCCUCGCCCGACUCGCCCGUCUGUCUCGUUCUGUCCGUCUCAGUCGACCUCUGGACCCGAGCUGGAGAGCAACAACAACAACAACAACAACAACAACAACAACGACAACAGCAACAACAACAACAACAACGACAACAACGACAGCAGCAGCAGCAGCAGCGACCCUGGGCAGCAGCAGCAGCAGCAGGAACAGUGUGAUCUCCAGAUAGUGCGUUUCAGUUUCUCUACAGUAGAAUAUCACUGCAGAAUCUCUUUAUUUUUAGAUAAUAAUGAUGAUAUAAUAUAUAAGAUUGCAGAAAAAAAGGAGAUUUUAUCGAAGCUUCAUUUGUAUUCAUUCCGACGUUAAGCCCCUCCUCCUCCGCUCGGCCCCUCAGCGCCUCCCUCCGACCUCUCCGCUCGAUCAGGAUUUAAACUCAAACACAGGAAGCGUCCCGGGGCCGCCGCGCCCCGCCCGGCCCCCCGGCCCCCCCGGCCCCAACUCUGUCUCCUCUCCGUCUGAACGUAGGAAACGUCCCGCCGGCGUCCCGCGGCCCGUUAGCGCCUCCACACCAGCCUCUCCCUGAGGAGGGGGCCCAUCAGAGCGGCCGGCCUCCCAGUCCGCUCAGAGCUGAUUUUUAGGUUUUCUCCCCGUGACGUUCUCUGCAAAAACGAAACAGAACCAAACAAAGGAACCUGAAGCUGCAGCUGAAACUCAGACGACGCCGUUUCCCAGCAUUCACCUCUUCCCUGCUGACCGCCUCUGAACGGCGACCGCGUGGCCCCGAAGCGUCCGGCUCUCCGUCGCCGCCGGCGCCCGUUAACACACACCUGAAGAACGAGCUGGAGAAAUGCUUCCUGAGGAAAAACAUUUCUUUUCCUCAGGAAACGUUCCCGGUGUUCCACCCGGCGUUCCACCCGGCGUUCCACCCGGCGUUCCACCCAGCGUUCCACCCGGCGUUCUCUGUGGUUCUCGCUCCCGGUUCCUUUAGUGAAGCUCUGCGAGUUUCCUCCUUGUUUUUUCUCCCACGUGCAGCUUCCUGUCAGAGCCGAGCGGCGGCUCGCUUUCCUCCUUCAGCACUAACAGAAAAUGUUCAGCUUCAAAUUAAAAGCUCAGUGUCGGCGUUUAAUCCCCGCAGCGCGCCGGAGGGAAAACAAACUGUAGCGUGUCGUCGUACCUUUUAUCUAAAACGAGUAUAAAUGACCUCAAAAUGAUUUUAGAGGUAAUGAAUAAAUUAUGAUCUAAAAAAAUAAUUUUAGCAUUAGAACCUUUAAUUUGAAACAUGGUAGCCAAACGGCAACGCGAGCGCCGUUUAAACGGGAGGCGUCACGUCAGCGCCCCCUACUGUUUUUUCGUGUAAUUUUGUGAGUGUAAUCCUGGAAAAAAAAUGUCUUUAUAAUCUGAGAAUUUCUUCCUCGUUAACUUUGCGUUGUUAAUCUGGGCGGCCGGCCGGCGGCUCGCGCUGCGGCGAGCUCCUGAAGCGUUCCGUAAAACUCGGCGUGUUUCUCCAGGUGGCCGGGUCUUUUUUUUUUUUUCCUCCUGUGUGUAAACGCAGCCUCGGCCGGGAGAGGAGAGCUCCCCCUUCAGGUCGUCUGGCGAACAGCAGCCGGACAAACCCUCGGUGUUGACGAGCUGCGGUCGCAGUGGGACUCUGCUGUCCUCCAGUUAGAGACAUAGCUAACAAUAAUCCCAAUAAUCUCAUCAUAAUAAUGGUAAUAAUAAGUAAUAAUUUGCCCUAAUGUGUGUGUUUGAAGUAUCGUAGGAGUUUUCCGGGGAGGGAGGGGAGGAAAAGAUUUGUUGGAAUAGUUUUUAUGGUUAUUCUUCUGAUUGUUUUGGUUGUUUUUGUGGGCGGGGUUUUGGUGUUGUAGUUUGAGAAGACCGGCAGCAGGUGGCGCCGCUCGCCCCUCCGUCUCAUCCAGCUUCACUGGACGGCACAAAAACAAUAACUCCUUUCUUAUUCAAUAAAGCGCUGUGCCAGGAACAGCCAAUAGGAGAGAGGGAGCGAGGGAGGGGGCGGGGCUUAGCGUGGCGGCUGCACCUCCACCUGCGCUCUGAGACGGGACGUCCCGCUCCGCAAACCUGCCCGAGUCCUGCCGGUGUUUUUUCUUUUUUUCUUUUUUUUUUUUCCCAAACGGACAGGAAGUUGGUGCCGUGUCGAGGAGUGGCUCGCUGAGCAAAGCAUUAUGGGACAUUAAAUCAUGAGGGUGCGGCACAAAGCUCCGCGGCGGCCGAGCCGAUCGCCGGCGAGGAGGGGCGGCAAACAGAAAUCUGCUGCUUCACAUUCACAUGUUUUUUAAAUUAUAAUUGUAAUAAUUUUCAGCGCUUCCUGCAUCCUGCUGCUUCCCUGCAGAUUUCUCCGUUUCACUCGGUUUUAUUUUUUAUUUCAAUUUAUUUUCAGUUUCAGUUUAGCUUCAAUUCAUUUUUUAAUUCAUUUAGUUUUUAUUCCUUGAAAAUGCUCAGUUUGUUUAGUUUUCAUUAGUUUCACUGCUCGUUUUGGUUUUUAUCUGUCGGGCGAGAUUCAAAAGGUCAGAAAAGGCUUUUAUUGUGAAAGAAAAGUGAAAACCUUUUCUCUGUAAUCUGAGUUUAUCUGAGUUUUGUAAAAACACAAUUCAGUGUCAGUCAGUUCUUUUUUUUUUGUAAAGCCUCGUUAACUAAACAUGUUUUCACACCUCGUUUUUGUUAGUUUGUCAGUUUUCGGUAAAGAUAAUAACUUUGGUUGCGACCGAACACGAAGUGAGUUUUUCACGCGGUGCCGUUAAAAAAAGUCACGAGCUGAAGUGAUUUUCAAGUCACUCGAGUAACGGCGAGCGAAACCUUUGCGGCCGUGUUCGCACGCGUCCGCCGCGCGAAAAUUCCCUUCGUGUUUAAUCCGAGAAUUUACAAGUUUUUUUUUGAGUCUGUUUAAUCUAUGUGAUGUCCCUCGGCCGCGGUCGAGACACGCCGCAACACCAAACCCUCCAACUUCCUGUUCAAAUCCCCGUCUUGUUCCUUCAGAUUAAAAGUUCAGUUUGACUCGGCGAGGGAGCUCUCAGGAUUUCAACUCGAAUCUGUUUCAGGUCCUUUUUUUUUUUUUUUUUUUUUUUUUUUUUUUAAAUUUAUACUUACAACUAAAAAACAAAAUCAUUGGGAAAAAACGACAUGAAGUAAAACAAAAUUCUGUUUGUUCAUCUGUUGGAACGCAGCAUCCGCCGGGCAGCGCAUGUGUGUGUGUGUGUGUGUGUGUGUGUGUGUGUGUGUGUGUGUGUGUGUGUGUGUGUGUGUGUGUGUGUGUGUGUGUGUGUGAAGUGGCGGCUCUGUGGUUUCCAGGCAACACGUCAGCUGGUUCACCUUCACCUGUUUUUACUUUUUAACAGCAGUCUCUCUGGGUGUUUUUAUUUCAUUUCAUUUUGUUUUAUUUCAUUUUUGGGUAAGCGAGGUUCUAGUUAAAGUCUUUGACCCCCCCGACCCCGGCUCACUGUAUCACUUAUUGUUUAUAUAUUUUUUUUUCCCAUCAUCCCGUCUGUUUGUUUGUGGGGGAGUUACUGUGUUCUGACAUUUUUUGUGUGGUGUAAAAAAAAAAAAAAAAAAAAAAAAAAAAAACAGUCUUGAGAGGGGUUUUGAAUAAAAAAAUAAGUAAAAAAACGUGUUUCUGGUGAUUUACUGAGCUGCACGUUCCUGUUAAAGGGACAGUUCACCACAUUCAUAAAAAAAAAAAAAAAAAAAAAAAAAACAUGUAUUACCACAAUGGAGUCAUGUGACCUUUCCUCAUUAAUCCUCACAAUUUGCAUAAAUUAUAAAUGGCUGUUUUCACAUUCAGUCCAUUUCAGUUUGAUCCACGUCCAUUUAAAAGUGACUUUUUUCCACCAACAUGGAUUUAGACUCUCA
RNAcentral lists this long non-coding RNA (4072 nucleotides) under Myripristis murdjan (pinecone soldierfish). RNAcentral's name for it is "lncRNA (ENSMMDG00005011547.1)". The record is from RNAcentral. Lineage: Eukaryota; Metazoa; Chordata; Actinopteri; Holocentriformes; Holocentridae.